This 510-nucleotide ribosomal RNA is filed under the name Glaciozyma antarctica. RNAcentral describes it as "partial large subunit ribosomal RNA". It matches the Rfam family "Eukaryotic large subunit ribosomal RNA", at positions 51 to 573 of the family's 3401-position model. Lineage: Eukaryota; Fungi; Basidiomycota; Microbotryomycetes; Kriegeriales; Camptobasidiaceae. The record is from RNAcentral.
CGGAGGAAAAGAAACUAACAAGGAUUCCCCUAGUAACGGCGAGUGAAGCGGGAAGAGCUCAAAUUUGUAAUCUGGCCCUUUCAGGGUCCGAGUUGUAAUCUCGAGAAGUGUUUUCCGCGCCGGACUGCAUACAAGUCUGUUGGAAUACAGCGUCAUAGUGGUGAGAGCCCCGUAACUGAUGCAGAUGCCCGGUGCUUUGUGAUACACUUUCGAAGAGUCGAGUUGUUUGGGAAUGCAGCUCAAAUUGGGUGGUAAAUUCCAUCUAAAGCUAAAUAUUGGCGAGAGACCGAUAGCGAACAAGUACCGUGAGGGAAAGAUGAAAAGCACUUUGGAAAGAGAGUUAACAGUACGUGAAAUUGUUGGAAGGGAAACGCUUGAAGUCAGACUUGCUAUUCGGAAUUCAGCCGCAAGGUGUACUUUUCGAUUUGCAGGCCAGCAUCAGUUUUUGGGGGUGGAAAAGGGUGGAGAGAAGGAAGCAACCUCGGUUGUGUUAUAGCUCUUUACUGGAUU